UACGUAGGGCGCAAGCGUUGUCCGGAAUUAUUGGGCGUAAAGAGCUCGUAGGCGGUCUGUUGCGUCGGCUGUGAAAACCCGAGGCUCAACCUCGGGCCUGCAGCCGAUACGGGCAGACUAGAGUUCGGCAGGGGAGACUGGAAUUCCUGGUGUAGCGGUGAAAUGCGCAGAUAUCAGGAGGAACACCGAUGGCGAAGGCAGCUCGCUGGGACGGUACUGACGCUGAGGCGCGAAAGCGUGGGGAGCAAACAGG
Molecule: ribosomal RNA, 253 nt
Filed under: uncultured bacterium
Lineage: Bacteria
Description: partial 16S ribosomal RNA
Rfam family: Bacterial small subunit ribosomal RNA
Source: RNAcentral